This 43-nucleotide non-coding RNA is filed under the name unclassified sequences. RNAcentral describes it as "SAM-SAH-Weickhmann-2018 RNA". It matches the Rfam family "SAM/SAH riboswitch aptamer", at positions 6 to 49 of the family's 49-position model. The record is from RNAcentral.
GCUGCAACGGCUUCCUGAAGCAGCUCUCAUUUCUAACGGAGCA